This 440-nucleotide ribosomal RNA is filed under the name uncultured bacterium. RNAcentral's name for it is "partial 16S ribosomal RNA". It matches the Rfam family "Bacterial small subunit ribosomal RNA", at positions 338 to 795 of the family's 1533-position model. The record is from RNAcentral.
CCUACGGGAGGCAGCAGUGGGGAAUAUUGCACAAUGGGGGGAACCCUGAUGCAGCAACGCCGCGUGGGUGAAGAAGUACUUCGGUAUGUAAAGCCCUGUCAGCCGGGAAGAAAAUGACGGUACCUGACCAAGAAGCCCCGGCUAACUACGUGCCAGCAGCCGCGGUAAUACGUAGGGGGCAAGCGUUAUCCGGAUUUCCUGGGUGUAACGGGCGCGUAGACGACAAGGCAAGUCUGGAGUGAAAGUCCGUGGCUCAACCACGGGACUGCUUUGGAAACGGUGUUGCUGGAGUGCAGGAGGGGUAAGCGGAAUGCCUGGUGUAGCGGUGAAAUGCGUAGAUAUUAGGAGGAACACCGGUGGCGAAGGCGGCUUACUGGACUGUAACUGACGUUGAGGCUCGAAGGCGUGGGGAGCGAACAGGAUUAGAUACCCGGGUAGUC